This 497-nucleotide ribosomal RNA is filed under the name uncultured bacterium. RNAcentral describes it as "partial 16S ribosomal RNA". It matches the Rfam family "Bacterial small subunit ribosomal RNA", at positions 28 to 507 of the family's 1533-position model. The record is from RNAcentral.
GAUGAACGCUGGCGGCGUGCCUAAUACAUGCAAGUCGAACGCACAGCGAAAGGUGCUUGCCCCUUUCAAGUGAGUGGCGAACGGGUGAGUAACACGUGGACAACCUGCCUCAAGGCUGGGGAUAACAUUUGGAAACAGAUGCUAAUACCGAAUAAAACUUAGUGUCGCAUGACACAAAGUUAAAAGGCGCUUCGGCGUCACCUAGAGAUGGAUCCGCGGUGCAUUAGUUAGUUGGUGGGGUAAAGGCCUACCAAGACAAUGAUGCAUAGCCGAGUUGAGAGACUGAUCGGCCACAUUGGGACUGAGACACGGCCCAAACUCCUACGGGAGGCUGCAGUAGGGAAUCUUCCACAAUGGGCGAAAGCCUGAUGGAGCAACGCCGCGUGUGUGAUGAAGGCGUUCGGGUCGUAAAGCACUGUUGUAUGGGAAGAACAGCUAGAAUAGGAAAUGAUUUUAGUUUGACGGUACCAUACCAGAAAGGGACGGCUAAAUACGUG